RNAcentral lists this ribosomal RNA (492 nucleotides) under uncultured bacterium. Its description in RNAcentral is "partial 16S ribosomal RNA". It matches the Rfam family "Bacterial small subunit ribosomal RNA", at positions 29 to 507 of the family's 1533-position model. The record is from RNAcentral.
AGUGAACGCUGGCGGUAGGCCUAACACAUGCAAGUCGAACGGCAGCACAGUAAGAUCUUGCUCUUACGGGUGGCGGGUGGCGGACGGGUGAGGAAUACAUCGGAAUCUACUUUUUCGUGGGGGAUAACGGAGGGAAACUGACGCUAAUACCGCAUACGACCUACGGGUUAAAGCAGGGGAUCUUCGCACCUUGCGCGAUUGAAUUAGCCGAUGUCGGAUUAGCUAGUUGGCGGGGUAAAGGCCCACCAAGGCGACGAUCCGUAGCUGGUCUGAGAGGAUGAUCAGCCACACUGGAACUGAGACACGGUCCAGACUCCUACGGGAGGCAGCAGUGGGGAAUAUUGGACAAUGGGCGAAAGCCUGAUCCAGCCAUACCGCGUGGGUGAAGAAGGCCUUCGGGUUGUAAAGCCCUUUUGUUGGGAAAGAAAAGCAGCAGGUUAAUACCCCGCUGUUCUGACGGUACCCAAAGAAUAAGCACCGGCUAACUUCGUG